This 449-nucleotide ribosomal RNA is filed under the name uncultured bacterium. RNAcentral's name for it is "partial 16S ribosomal RNA". It matches the Rfam family "Bacterial small subunit ribosomal RNA", at positions 29 to 523 of the family's 1533-position model. The record is from RNAcentral.
AACGAACGCUGGCGGCAUGCCUAACACAUGCAAGUCGAACGAGAUCUUCGGCCUUAGUGGCGCACGGGUGCGUAACGCGUGGGAAUCUGCCCUUGGGUUCGGAAUAACAGUUAGAAAUGACUGCUAAUACCGGAUGAUGUCGUAAGACCAAAGAUUUAUCGCCCAAGGAUGAGCCCGCGUAGGAUUAGCUAGUUGGUGGGGUAAAGGCCCACCAAGGCGACGAUCCUUAGCUGGUCUGAGAGGAUGAUCAGCCACACUGGGACUGAGACACGGCCCAGACUCCUACGGGAGGCAGCAGUGGGGAAUAUUGGACAAUGGGCGAAAGCCUGAUCCAGCAAUGCCGCGUGAGUGAUGAAGGCCUUAGGGUUGUAAAGCUCUUUUACCCGGGAUGAUAAUGACAGUACCGGGAGAAUAAGCUCCGGCUAACUUCGUGCCAGCAGCCGCCGUAA